RNAcentral lists this ribosomal RNA (700 nucleotides) under uncultured bacterium. RNAcentral describes it as "bacterial SSU rRNA". It matches the Rfam family "Bacterial small subunit ribosomal RNA", at positions 56 to 765 of the family's 1533-position model. The record is from RNAcentral.
UGCAAGUCGAACGGGGUCCACCGAGUAGCAAUACGAGGGAAGACCUAGUGGCGAACGGGUGCGUAACACGUGAGAAACCAACCCCGGUCUUUGGGAUAACAGGCGGAAACGCCUGCUAAUACCGAAUAACGUCGUUUCCUCGCAUGGGGAGAUGACGAAAGGGCUACCGGAUCGGGACGGUCUCGCGGCCUAUCAGCUUGUUGGGGAGGUAACGGCUCACCAAGGCAUCGACGGGUAGCUGGUCUGAGAGGAUGAUCAGCCACACUGGGACUGAGACACGGCCCAGACUCCUACGGGAGGCAGCAGUGGGGAAUCUUGCGCAAUGGGUGAAAGCCUGACGCAGCAACGCCGCGUGCGGGAUGAAGGCCUUCGGGUUGUAAACCGCUUUUAACAGGAACGAAAAUGACGGUACCGGCAGAGUAAGGUGCGGCCAACUACGUGCCAGCAGCCGCGGUGACACGUAGGCACCAAGCGUUGUCCGGAUUUAUUGGGCGUAAAGAGCUCGUAGGCGGUUCAGGUAGUCGGGUGUGAAAACUCUGGGCUCAACCCAGAGACGCCACCCGAUACUCCUGUGACUAGAGUUCGGUAGGGGAGCGGGGAAUUCCUAGUGUAGCGGUGAAAUGCGCAGAUAUUAGGAGGAACACCGGUGGCGAAAGCGCCGCUCUGGGCCGAUACUGACGCUGAGGAGCGAAAGCGUGGG